RNAcentral lists this transfer RNA (66 nucleotides) under Thelepus plagiostoma. RNAcentral describes it as "tRNA-Asp". Lineage: Eukaryota; Metazoa; Annelida; Polychaeta; Terebellida; Terebellidae. The record is from RNAcentral.
GAAGCUUUAGUUAAAAAAUAACCUAAGAAUGUCAGCCUUAAAUUACUUACCUAUAAGUAAGCUUCU